GACGAACGCUGGCGGCGUGCUUAACACAUGCAAGUCGAACGGAAAGGCCCUGCUUUUGUGGGGUGCUCGAGUGGCGAACGGGUGAGUAACACGUGAGUAACCUGCCCUUGACUUUGGGAUAACUUCAGGAAACUGGGGCUAAUACCGGAUAGGAGCUCCUGCUGCACGGUGGGGGUUGGAAAGUUUCGGCGGUUGGGGAUGGACUCGCGGCUUAUCAGCUUGUUGGUGGGGUAGUGGCUUACCAAGGCUUUGACGGGUAGCCGGCCUGAGAGGGUGACCGGCCACAUUAGGACUGAGGUACGGCCCAGACUCCUACGGGAGGCAGCGGUGGAGAGUAUUACACAGUGGGCGGAAGCCUGAUGCGGCAACGCCGCGUGCGGGAUGACGGCCUUCGGGUGGUAAACCGCUUUCGCCUGUGACGAGGCGUGAGUGACGGUAAUGGGUAAAGAAGCACCGGCUAACUACGUG
Molecule: ribosomal RNA, 468 nt
Filed under: uncultured bacterium
Lineage: Bacteria
Description: partial 16S ribosomal RNA
Rfam family: Bacterial small subunit ribosomal RNA
Source: RNAcentral